CAGCCGCCGCGGGAAUACGUAGGUCCCGAGCGUUGUCCGGAUUUAUUGGGCGUAAAGCGAGCGCAGGCGGUUAGAUAAGUCUGAAGUUAAAGGCUGUGGCUUAACCAUAGUAUGCUUUGGAAACUGUUUAACUUGAGUGCAGAAGGGGAGAGUGGAAUUCCAUGUGUAGCGGUGAAAUGCGUAGAUAUAUGGAGGAACGCCGGUGGCGAAAGCGGCUCUCUGGUCUGUAACUGACGCUGAGGCUCGAAAGCGUGGGGAGCAAACAGGAUUAGAUACCCCAGUAGUCCCUGUCUCUUAUACA
This 301-nucleotide ribosomal RNA is filed under the name uncultured bacterium. Its description in RNAcentral is "partial 16S ribosomal RNA". It matches the Rfam family "Bacterial small subunit ribosomal RNA", at positions 509 to 808 of the family's 1533-position model. The record is from RNAcentral.